Molecule: ribosomal RNA, 800 nt
Filed under: uncultured Caloramator sp.
Lineage: Bacteria; Bacillati; Bacillota; Clostridia; Eubacteriales; Clostridiaceae
Description: bacterial SSU rRNA
Rfam family: Bacterial small subunit ribosomal RNA
Source: RNAcentral
UGAGUCUGCGUCUGAUUAGCUAGUUGGUGAGGUAAUGGCUCACCAAGGCUGCGAUCAGUAGCUGGUCUGAGAGGACGAUCAGCCACACUGGAACUGAGACACGGGCCAGACUCCUACGGGAGGCAGCAGUGGGGAAUAUUGCGCAAUGGGGGAAACCCUGACGCAGCGACGCCGCGUGAGCGAUGAAGGCCUUCGGGUUGUAAAGCUCUGUCUUCCCUGACGAUAAUGACGGUAAGGGAGGAGGAAGCCACGGCUAACUACGUGCCAGCAGCCGCGGUAAUACGUAGGUGGCAAGCGUUGUCCGGAAUUAUUGGGCGUAAAGGGUGCGUAGGCGGCUCUUUAAGUGGGAUGUGAAAUCCCUAGGCUCAACCUAGGAACUGCAUUCCAAACUGGAGAGCUAGAGUGCAGGAGAGGAAAGCGGAAUUCCCAGUGUAGCGGUGAAAUGCGUAGAGAUUGGGAGGAACACCAGUGGCGAAGGCGGCUUUCUGGACUGUAACUGACGCUGAGGCACGAAAGCGUGGGGAGCAAACAGGAUUAGAUACCCUGGUAGUCCACGCUGUAAACGAUGGGUACUAGGUGUAAGGGGGCGAAGCCCUCUGUGCCGCAGCUAACGCAUUAAGUACCCCGCCUGGGGAAUACGGUCGCAAGAUUAAAACUCAAAGGAAUUGACGAAGGCCCGCACAAGCAGCGGAGCAUGUGGUUUAAUUCGAAGCAACGCGAAGAACCUUACCAGGGCUUGACAUCCACCGAACCCUGUGGAAACACUGGGGGUGCCCUUCGGGGAACGGUGAAACAGGUUG